UAAUACCAGCACCCCGAGUGGUCGGGACGAUUAUUGGGCCUAAAGCAUCCGUAGCUUGUUCUGCAAGUCCUCCGUUAAAUCCACCUGCUCAACAGAUGGGCUGCGGGGGAUACUACAGGGCUAGGAGGCGGGAGAGGCAAACGGUACUCAGUGGGUAGGGGUAAAAUCCUCUGAUCCACUGAAGACCACCAGUGGCGAAGGCGGUUCGCCAGAACGCGCUCGACGGUGAGGGAUGAAAGCUGGGGGAGCAAACCGGAUUAGAUACCCGGGUAGUCCCAGCUGUAAACGAUGCAGACUCGGUGAUGGGUUGGCUUCGAGCCAACCCAGUGCCGCAGGGAAGCCGUUAAGUCUGCCGCCUGGGGAGUACGGUCGCAAGACUGAAACUUAAAUGAAUUGA
This 397-nucleotide ribosomal RNA is filed under the name uncultured crenarchaeote. Its description in RNAcentral is "bacterial SSU rRNA". It matches the Rfam family "Archaeal small subunit ribosomal RNA", at positions 471 to 868 of the family's 1478-position model. Lineage: Archaea; Thermoproteati; Thermoproteota. The record is from RNAcentral.